GGGUCUACAGAGUUGGAGAAUGUCGGCAAAGCUGGCUUGGUGACAAUCCAAGGAAAAAUCUCAACUGUGCUGGGAACUAUUCUUGUUUGUGCAUAUAUAUUCGUUACCUUUUUCCCUGACCAAGCAGAGAAGCUAUUCCAAUUGGCCUCUGCAGGCUAAGCCUAAUAAAUUCAUUGUAGUCUUUCUUGAUUUUGUUCUUCCUCACUCAUUAUGCAUUUAUGCAUGUAGCAUAAUUAAGGAACGUGUGAUUAGAAUUGAGGGGGAAAAACAUGAAAUGUGAAUAAAGUAAUGUAAGAAUUAGUAAUGUGAGUAUAUGGCUAUGAUGCUCAAGAAACCAAAUGGUUUAUAUCA
Glycine soja is the source of this 351-nucleotide long non-coding RNA. RefSeq lists it as uncharacterized. The record is from RefSeq and is a predicted model, not a curated record. The transcript has 2 exons. Lineage: Eukaryota; Viridiplantae; Streptophyta; Magnoliopsida; Fabales; Fabaceae.